CCCUUAGAUGUUCUGGGCUGCACGCGCGCUACACUGAUGCACUCAACGAGUUUACGACCUUGCCCGAUAGGGUUGGGUAAUCCUUUUAAAAUGCAUCGUGAUGGGGAUAGAUUAUUGCAAUUAUUAAUCUUCAACGAGGAAUUCCUAGUAAGCGCGAGUCAUCAGCUCGUGCUGAUUACGUCCCUGCCCUUUGUACACACCGCCCGUCGCUCCUACCGAUUGAGUGCUCAGGUGAAUAAUUCGGACUGCAGCAAUGUUUGGAUCCCGAACGUUGCAGCGGAAAGUUUAGUGAACCUUAUCACUUAGAGGAAGGAGAAGUCGUAACA
Molecule: ribosomal RNA, 326 nt
Filed under: uncultured eukaryote
Lineage: Eukaryota
Description: partial 18S ribosomal RNA
Rfam family: Eukaryotic small subunit ribosomal RNA
Source: RNAcentral